Molecule: long non-coding RNA, 706 nt
Organism: Bufo gargarizans (Asiatic toad)
Lineage: Eukaryota; Metazoa; Chordata; Amphibia; Anura; Bufonidae
Exons: 4
Source: RefSeq, a predicted model, not a curated record
UGGACCCUGGGAGGCUUCUGAGGUUCUGAGGGACUCAUCUUUAUAAUGUACUUCAAUUAGUGGACGGCCAGACCCUGAGGGGCCGGACUACACUAUCCAGAUCACCGUUAAAGUAUCCUUACAUAUUGGAUGUGAGUUAAACAGACUCUGGACUACAUUAAUACAACCUGUUGUCUAGAGCACCACUAUUUAGAAGACUGCCAUUUGUUUCUCCUGGCAUCAACCACGAUCACGUAUGCGCUUUAUAUCUUGCCGUACUCCAAUAUCUACGGUUGAUGGCUGUCUGUGAGUUUCACAUGCCCGCUAUAUCAAGAUGCCCGAUCUUGUAUUUAUCCCUUUAGACCUCCCGGGAAUACUAUCUGGUCCAAUUCCCUUUCAUUUUUAACUUUAUAUGUUAUUUGACACCGCCUGCUAGACGGCUACCUGAUAGGGAUGCCAACAUUGUUUGGGUCUCCUCCCGUCUGACAUGGUCUUUGCUCUAUUAUCCUUAUUGGUGAUUUAUCUUAUACGUAUCCACCCCCUGAUGAUCCCACAUGGUGGGGGAAACGCGUCGGGGCUUUACACAGACUUGAUCUGUGACAUAAUUUGACUAUCCUUCAUUCGGUGUCUUUAUGUAAUUAUAGUUUAGUUUAUUGCAUCGUGUACCUGUUGGUCCUCUGCAUCAACAGGGCUGUAUACGCCGUGCACUGUGUGUUAUUGAUCCUCC